CUGUAAAAAAGAGGGAGCUUGUAGCACAGGCUGAGAGGAAAGUAAGACUUUCGACCGUUACCUGAUUUGGAUAAUGCCAACGUAGGGAUCAUUCUUGUUUUUAAU
Molecule: non-coding RNA, 105 nt
Filed under: Firmicutes bacterium CAG:536
Lineage: Bacteria; Bacillati; Bacillota
Also listed under: 1 other name
Description: TPP riboswitch aptamer (THI element)
Rfam family: TPP riboswitch aptamer (THI element)
About the family: Vitamin B(1) in its active form thiamin pyrophosphate (TPP) is an essential coenzyme that is synthesised by coupling of pyrimidine and thiazole moieties in bacteria. The previously detected thiamin-regulatory element, thi box was extended, resulting in a new, highly conserved RNA secondary structure, the THI element, which is widely distributed in eubacteria and also occurs in some archaea.
Source: Rfam by way of RNAcentral